UAGACAGACGUGACUUCCGUGUUAGGUGU
This 29-nucleotide non-coding RNA is filed under the name Mus musculus (house mouse). Lineage: Eukaryota; Metazoa; Chordata; Mammalia; Rodentia; Muridae. The record is from RNAcentral.